AUAACACUUAGAAAUAGGUGCUAAUACCGCAUAAGCGCACAGCUUCGCAUGAAGCAGUGUGAAAAACUCCGGUGGUAUACGAUGGAUCCGCGUCUGAUUAGCUUGUUGGCGGGGUAAAGGCCCACCAAGGCGACGAUCAGUAGCCGGCCUGAGAGGGUGAACGGCCACAUUGGGACUGAGACACGGCCCAAACUCCUACGGGAGGCAGCAGUGGGGAAUAUUGCACAAUGGGGGAAACCCUGAUGCAGCGACGCCGCGUGAGUGAAGAAGUAUUUCGGUACGUAAAGCUCUAUCAGCAGGGAAGAAAAUGACGGUACCUGACUAAGAAGCCCCGGCUAACUACGUGCCAGCAGCCGCGGUAAUACGUAGGGGGCAAGCGUUAUCCGGAUUUACUGGGUGUAAAGGGAGCGUAGACGGCAGCGCAAGUCUGGAGUGAAAUCCCAUGGCUUAACCAUGGAACUGCUUUGGAAACUGUGCAGCUGGAGUGCAGGAGAGGUAAGCGGAAUUCCUAGUGUAGCGGUGAAAUGCGUAGAUAUUAGGAGGAACACCAGUGGCGAAGGCGGCUUACUGGACUGUAACUGACGUUGAGGCUCGAAAGCGUGGGGAGCAAACAGGAUUAGAUACCCUGGUAGUCCACGCUGUAAACGAUGAUUACUAGGUGUUGGGGGACCAAGGUCCUUCGGUG
Molecule: ribosomal RNA, 685 nt
Filed under: uncultured bacterium
Lineage: Bacteria
Description: bacterial SSU rRNA
Rfam family: Bacterial small subunit ribosomal RNA
Source: RNAcentral